GACCAAAUGGGUAGUUCUCCAUCUCUGGUUCCAAAGACUGAGAUUCUGGAUAGCUCCUUCCUGGUGCUCAGCUGAUUUGUAGAUAACCACAGCCAAAGGCAUAAAGUAUAUUGAGCACUCUGGGGUUCUCGUGUCCUUGAUGAGGAGGGAUGCUCUUGUACCUUCUUACAAAACUGGUUCCUUAAACCAUGCCCAUACCCGCCCUGGUUCCCACCCUCUGACAAUGCAUGAGCAUGUCCUAAGGACUAGUGCAAGAGCAAACCUUGGCAAGCUAACCAACGAUAGGUGAUGCUGAUGUUCUCUUGUUGAAGGAACUAAUACAGGGAGUUUUCUUUUGAAAAAUGGGAGUCCUAUGAGUUGAUCUAGCUUGCCUUUCCUAUCCCUCUUCCCUUCCCUGCCUCUCAGAUCGGGUGUUUGGCUUUUCAGCGCUUUCACUCAAGCCAAAUCUGCAAGCACAUUUUUGGGUGGAUGUCACCAGGAUCCACUUCCUCCUGGCCCACAGACAGUCUGUCUCUUAUCUCACAUUAGUAUCAAUUAUUUACAGCAGUAAUGUUAAAUCAUGAAAACGAGGUUGCAGCAAAGCUGUGCCUUGGCUAAUGCCCCAUGCUGCCUGCAGCUUUUGGAGCCCUUGCGUUGUCUGCAUUUAACCUUCCAGAGAUGUGAUCCUAGAUAUAUUCCAUAUCUCAUGGCUGCAGGUUAGAGCAGGGGCAAGGCACCCACAUCCUCCAUGGCAUUUCUCUCCUUCCUUCUACCAGUGCCAUAGCACUUCUCAUAGCCUAUCAUUUGGGGGAAAGAAGCUCCCUCUGUGUUCACUCUGAUGCCAUGAGCUCUGAGCAGCGUGCUCAUGUUGGCACACAGUCCCUCACCAACUCCUUCAACAACUGCCUGCAUAAGGGAUUUUUUUUUUUUUUUGAUUCAUAGUAUUUAACCAUGAAUAUUUAAAAUCUCUGUUAAAUAGGGUUGUUAUACAGCUUAGAACAACAUAAAUACAAGUGUCUGGGCUUUACUUUGGAUCCAGGACAGCAGAAGUGCUUUACCUCUGAUGGAAAGUGCACCACUGAGUGAGGUGACGCUCAGUCUCCUGACCUUGGAACAGUGCCUACUUUUAGACUUCCAGUAACUCAGUAUUUUUCAGCUAAAUCCCUGCUUGCACCAGAGGAGCAAUCCUUUUCUAGCUGUGCUUCAACUGCUCACCUGGCACAUUCCCGCUCUGCUAGCUGCAGUUCUGGGAAGUGAAAAGAAACCUGAGGAGGUAAAAAGAAUGAAAAAAAAAAAUGAAAUUUGGAUGUAGAUACUGUGCAGGAAGUGAGGUGACCCCUAAAUCAUAGAAUUAUGGAGUCAUAGCACCAUUAACAUUGGAAGAGACCUCUGAGAUCCCCAAGUCCAACCCCACCCCAUCCCACGGUGCCCACUGCCCACGUCCCUCAGUGCCACAUCUCCACACUUCCAGAACACCUCCAGGGACAGUGACUCCACCACCUCCCUGGGCAGCUGUGCCUCUGCAUCACUGUUCUUUCUGGAAAGAAAUUUUUCCUAAUAUCCAAUCUUAUCCUUCCCUGGUACAACUUAGACAGCUGCCUGCAUGGUCCUGUUGAGCUGAGGCAGAGCUUGCCUUGGCCAGGCCUUUCCCAUUGCUCAGGGGAUGCUGAGGCAUUGAACAAGCUCCGAGCUCAGCAGGUUCUCUGCUGUUGCUCACCCAUGGGAUUUAGGGGAGAUGCAGGUGUCCCCUACAAGGGAGGAUGGAGAACAGGAAGACUGUUUUAAUUUUGAGCUCCUGUGAGUCACUUCAUUAGCCCUGCCUCUGCUUGACCCUCCUGCUGUUAUAUCAGCCUGACUGUUUAUUUUCCUCAUAAAACUAAAACAAGAUCGAUUGCUUUGUCCCGAGGCCCUUUAUGUGUCUUGGUGCCCACUGCAGCCCUGCCGUUAGCAGCAGGCCUAAUGCAAAUUGAAUCUUUGGGAAACGGGCAGUUUGGAGCUGCCCAUCUUCCUCCUCUUUCCUGCUUAAGUUUCAUCUAUUGCAUUUAAAAUAGAAACUUUAUCUAUUUAUUCUAAACAUAAAUAUGCAAUUUUCUUGCUGUCUAUAUGUGCACGGCGUGUCUCUGUUGUAGACACAUAUAUGCGAUCAAUAACCAUCUCUUGCUGGGGAUUUAAAUAUUAGUUUUCCAAAUCCAGUCUAGAGCACCAGAUUUAUUUUUAUGAAAAUAUACCCUUUCUUGCUUAAGGAGGGAUAUUAAUUAUAGAUGCAAACCCAUAAAUCUUCCGGAUUUAGGUGAGAUAUUUGCUGGAUUAUAAAUAUGAAUUGGAGAUGAGGGUCUUGCUCUUCCUAUUAUUACUAUUAUUAUUACUUACUGGUUAUUAUUUCGGUGUGAUCAGUAUCUUCGGGUGGGUCAAAUAUUGCUGGGGAAUGGGGAGCUGAGCCUUCAGAGGGUGCGCAUGCUGAAUUCAUUAAAAUGUUUUCUAUUCCACCCUUGCUCUCCACUGCGCUUCGCAGCCCGGUGAGUCAUUAAACACCCUGUUCAGAUCACUUCCCUUUCUCUCCAUCCUUCUUUUGGUACCUGUUUUCAUUGUGCUGCUUUUGCCAGAUCAUAUCAAGCUCCCUAGUGUUUAUUAAUAAUGUCCCACAUGCUAUUGACAAUGUGCUGUUGUUUCCGAGGGUCUGCUUCAAUACCAGUCUUGGGCAGCAGUGAAACCAGCGGCCAUCAGAGAGCCCAGACUCACCCAGGGCUUUGGCACAGGUAAUAAUAUUCUGCUCCAUUUAUUAUGACAAAUGUGGGAACAAAAGUAGUGUGCCACAAGGACUGAUCCCUUCCAACUCAAAAUGUUCCAUGACUCUAUGAUAAUUGCACGUUUCUUGCUAAUUCAGUGCAAACUGAGAUAGGAGUAAGUCACAGUGAUUCUCCCAGCCUUCACCAAGUGCUCCAAAGCCAAGAGGCAUUUCUAAAUCCCAGUUAACAGGAGUUAAACGGAAGACUUCACCAAGAACCUCAGGGCUUCCUGGUUCCCUGCUGAUCCUUCAACCAUGGGAUGCAAAAGGUGAGAUGCUCGCGGGCAUUAGCAGCAGCAAGAGGCAUGGAGCAAGGCUGGUGUGCAUCAAGAGAGGUUCCUGCAGGCAGCUCUGGCAAGUGCAGCAAUGUAGGGGGCUGCUGACCAAAGGAAAGCACAUGGUGGGAUCUCAAGUUGAUUUAAUGUAACACCGUACCCUGAAAUUAAUAGGACCUUGCAUGCCAGGACUGAAAAGAUAGGGCACUGUGUAAGGUCUGCUUUUUUAAAUUAGAGUCCCCUGCUUAAAUAAAUUAAGUGAGCUGUCAGUAUAUUAAAUGAUUUAAUGCCUUCUCCAGUUUUGCAGUGGAAUCCUAAUGAAAAUACUCUUCAGUAUAAAACGCUGGAUAAAUUAAAUGGUGAAGUGUUUUAAUAAAUGGUCUGUUGUUAUGGUGAACCACAUUAAAGUAAUGUUUAUCUCUAUGGUAAUGAUGUUGCCCUAGCUUUAAAACCAUUUCUGCUGGUUCAGGCUUCUUCAGAUAAAAUAUAAACGCUGAGCUGUUGUCCAGUUUCAAAAGCAUCUGCACAGUUCCUGGACCCAAACCUGAAAUCGAUGGCAGUCGUGCUGGCUGGCCAACACAGAGCUGGAUUCAAUGGAUUCAAGAGCAGAGGACUCUUGCACAUUUGCUCUGUGAUGUCAGCAGGGGGAUGAGGCAGAGCCUCCAAGCUGCAGGGGUGAGGCCCUACACGUACAUUGGGACGAGUUUGGGUAUUAAUGAACUACAGUGGAACAGUGAGUAGGCUGUGGAGGGGCUUAAAAUCUUUGCUGAUCUCAUUGCAGGUUAAGAUAACAAAUUAUAUCUCUUUUAUAUCCUUUAUAUAAGGUAAAGGCCUGCUUUUAAAGGUAAAGACAUUACGAGAAGAUAAAGUCCCUUUUAUAUAAAUUGGUUAUAAAACAAUUUUUAUUUUCUUGCUUUUGGAUAUCAGUUCUUAUUUGACCUCUUUCACUCAUCACAGUAUUUCUUUGGAAGGAAAAUUCUCCCCUCAUGCUAUUUUCAGAGCCUGAUAACCCAGAAAUAACAUCUUAGUGCCCAAAUUAAUUUUACAUUAAUAAUAAUAGUAUUAAUAAAAUAUACCUGUUUGUCCCCAGCUGCACUGAAAGAUGUCACUGGGGCUUACAAGACAGCCCCCAGGAGAAGCCAAAGGGUAGUUCUGGAGAUGCCCAAGAGUCGUCUGCACCAAAGGCUUUUGUGAGGAACUUCCAUGAAAGGAGAAAUUCCAGCAGCUUCUGAACCACAGAGCCAUUCCUCUGGCAGAGCUGAGGUGCCCAUGAGAGUCACCACUGAGGCUGACCACGAUCCAAAAGGAGGGGGUCGUCCCACUCAGUGCUCAGGGAUGAUGUCUUAAAUACUCAUAAUUAAGGCCAUCAAGAAAUCAGGGGAGGCGAAUCCUGUUCAUGCCGUGUGGGUCUCUGAGUGUUCAUUUAAAGAGUGAUCUUUGGUGGAUCUGAGAUAUACAUAAAAACAAAACAAAAACAAAUCCAUAUGAAUUUGAAAUGGUGAAAGAUGGUGAAACUGCUUCUUAGGAAGUGGUUCUGGUGUUGGUUCUGUCCGUUUAAGAAGUUCACCUGUCCCAGCAUGAAUUUUGCAGUGUCAGCUUGCAGUUACCGGCUCUUUUUAUUGCUCUGUCUGCUCGAUUGAAGAGCUUUCCAUUUCUGUCUGUCUGAGCACAUCUGGAUUGUCAUUAAGCCAUCCCUUAACCUCCUCUUUGUUAAGCUAAGCGCACUGGGGUCCUUGAAUCUGUCACUAUAAGGCAUGUCUUGCAAUGCUUCCGUCAUUCUUGUGUGCCUCCUCGGAGCCCUCUCCCAUUCAUCAACAUCCUUCUUGAGCUGCAGACACCAGAAAUAGCUGCAGGGUCCCAGCAGAUGCUACACCAGAGGUAUUCCACUCUGCUAUUUGUUUGAGCUUCCAGCGCUGUGCUAUAGGAUCCCUCCUCCCCCUGAAUGCCAUGAAAUUCCAGUUCCCAAGUGUGGCUUUGUAUGUGCCUGUGUUGAACUGGGUGGUUUUUUCUUCAAUCUGACUCAGGAGAAGGCUGAUCCUCAGCCCCACCAUGAUCCAAAUCGAACUCAUCAGCGAACUUUGAUUGUAAUUAGUUUUGAUUUUCUACCAUUUUGCUAAAAGUGAUGAACUGAAACACAGCCACUUGUGAUGAGUGUCUGCACGCAGCCGUACAUUUAAACAUAUCAGUGGGGUUUUCAUCCGUUUAGUGCGUGCCGUGUUGAUUUUACAUUGUUUUAGCUUCCUAAUAAAUGAGACAACAUUAAGUCAAAUGCCUUGCAGAAGUCAAACGUAACAGUGUUGAUGAAAUGUACUAAAUCAAUCAAAUCUAUAAUCACAUUCUUGAAAAAUUAUAUCAAUUUCAUUUAAUAAGAUCUAUUUUCCAUUAACUCAUGUUGAUUGUAAUUAAUUAUUCUCCUUAAAUUGUUAUUAAUCAAGUCCCCUAUCAGCUCUUCCAUUAUUUCUCACAAAAUCAACAUCAGAUAAUCAGAUUUAUAAUUACGAGCGACAUUCCUACGCUGGCACAAAGUCAGCAGCACUCGGGUGUGCUGUGUUCUUGGAGUCCGGGGCACGAGUUGGAGCUGGAGGUAUUUCACACAGUCCUAUGACAUUGCUAAUUUACUUAGCUUUUCCCCCGAAAUUAGAGGAAUUAAAUAUUUAGUGUCUGCCUUCUAUGUAUUUUCUAUUUAUCAUCUGCUAUUCUGUCUAGACAACCACACUCAGCCACUGAUAUCUAAAAACCACAUCCCUACUGCUCUUGGCUCUGCAAGCAGAGGUCUCACCUGCUGGCCUUCUGCUUGCUGUUGGUUAACACAUUUUCCCUUUGUGUGAAGGUAGACCUCCCCUUCCUCCCCCCCGAGUCUCUGCUUUAACCAGAAUAACCUUCUCUCUCUGAGCGCUGAGAUUUCACUAGAUGCCCUAAAAGCCAGAGUGCUUUUAAACAACGAGUUGCCAAAUAUCACACACAUUUUCUCUUCAAAAUCCUCCAAGUGACCUGGCUUACAGUGUUGAAAAGAAAAAGUGUCUGCUAUCUGCUCAGGCUUCGUUCUGUCUGAGCCCUGCACAUAAGAUGGAAAUGGCAUCCCCUCUGUGUUGGCUGUAAGUGGUUUUUAGAGCUGCGAUCAGCUCUUCAGCUGUCAAGACCAUCCUGCAGAGAAUCCUCCUGAUUUUGGUUAACAACGGCAUUUAUAAAUUCCCAAAAUUGGCAACACAAGCCCUCCAGCUCACAGCAUUCAAGUUCAGGUUUUCCAAGACACUCUAUAGGAAUUUUCCUUAAAUGUUUCUGGUUUCUGGUGAGAUUUGAGCAGUGUCAUCCAUUGGCUUUUACUUGUACUUGAGGUCACUUUCUCUUGAGCUCCCAGUGACUUGGAUGGCAGCAAUGUCACUUCUGGUAUUGAUUGUCCCUCCUACACCUUCUUUGCCCACUCAGUUUCUUUUUUUUGCAAAUAGGUUCCAGCUAUUGAUUUUAAUAUUCCAGGCACAUGGAUUUUCUCCCCAAGUUUAAGUCAUGCUCUCCAGAUAGAAUUUGUACUCAUAAAUUAGUCGUUCCCACUCUUUUUUAUGGCUCAGCCUUCCUGCGCUACCGUAGAGGCAAUUAAAGUUCUUCUCCUCGCAUCCUUUCGUGUGUUCAUUAGCUCUCUCCUCAUCAUUUUCUUCCUUGAGCCAGAGACAGGGACGGGUGCGGAAUGAAUUCUGUUUCCUCAUUGCUUUCCAGUGCCUGUAUCUCCAACCCAGUCCAAGCAUCCCUCCCAGCAGAAAAGCUAGAGCCCAAAGAGCCAUUGGGAGCACCACAGCAGAAGGGAAAACCUUUGCUGAUCUCAGCACUGACAGGUUUUGGUGGCAAUGAGCUGAUGGUUGGACUAGAUGAUCUCAGUGGCCACUUCCAAAUUCUACAAUUCUAUGAUUUUGGGGUCAUCAUGGAUGUAGAAUGAUUCAAACUCCAUUGUGCAACAGUAUCUGAUCUCCCAAAUUCUCCUGGCAGCCAAUUCCCCAGCUCAGCCCUACUGCAACUGCUCCCCAGACACACUGAACCACAAGGAAAAGCCAUUUGGAUUGUGCUCUCUUGCUUUCAUGUCCAUGGGGGAUUUCCUGGGAUUUUGCAAGCCCCAGGGAUUGAGGGCAAAGCCAACAGAGAAGCAGACCUGUGCUUAGGGCACCUGCACAAGCUAGCCUGCAGGCUUACAGCUUCACUGUGGUUUGAGGUUUGAAGGUUUCCUAUCACCUGCUCAUCUCCUGCCUUUAUGUAACAACAAUAACAAAACACGCAAAAAUAUCCCUCAGAAAAUCCAACCGUCUUUGCUCUUGCAGGUCCUGAACUGUUUGCCUCUGAGGGCAGAACACAGACUUUGGAUGGUUUUGAGAAGUCUCCUGUCUGGGUGGUUUUAUUUAUAUCUGAUGCAUUUUAAUGCAGAAUGGGCAGAAAUGAGAUGCUUCAGAGCAAAGUCAAAGCAGAGCAGUUCUGCAGGUCCGGCCCUCGCUGGGCUCAGUGGUGGGAUGUGCUCAUCACCCCCUCUUCAAAAUAACCCCCCACGUCUCUUUUCAUCCAACAAAACAUUUAGGUGCAUAUCUGUGAGUGAAGGAGUACAAGAGAAGGAAGCAUAAGGCUGUAAAAUAAACACUCUACAAAAUGCCUCCAGGUUGCUCUAAAUUAUGCAUCCUUCCUGUUAGGAGAUGUUCAAGGUUGUCUUUUCCUGUGAACAGCGCUCCUCCUGGGUCCUCACCUUCAUUUGCUGGGAUGCCUCUGCUCUGGGCUUGCAGUUACGUCUCCUUCCCUUUCGCUGCCUUUACAACCAUUUCUUUGCCGCCUUUUAUAAUUCAGAACACGACAAAUGAAUUCCCACCUCAGCUCAGCACUCAGAUGAUGGGAAAGGGAUAAACGGUCCCUGGUAGCAGCUCAGUGCACGGUGAGCAUCACUGCAGCCCCGUGCGGUGCUUUUUCCCUGCGCACAUGCAGGACAGACGGGCGCAGGAGUGGAGCGAUGCUCACAGCCCCAGUCCCUGGUGCAGAGCUGGGAGCAUCAGUGGGGCAAACCGUGGCCAAAAACACACGGACUCUUCUGGGAAACGGCCCAACCCUCUCAUUUCUGUAAUGUGAUUGGCACAUGGCUUGGUUUUGCGUUCUGUUUCUAAAGGAUAGCUGCUAUUCUUUUUAUUAAAACCUUUAAAUUUCAUUAGUUUGCACUUACCAAAAUAAACCUGGCAUCACUAGUGAGCUCUCCUGCGGCCGUGCCAUCGAUCUGAUGCAGCCCCGCGUCACACCUGGCACGGUGACAGCCGCGUCCCUCCAUGCUGAACAGAGGCACCCGCUCUGCCUGGAGGCUGAGAGGCAUUUUCAUGGAGUUCUGUGAUGAGGAACUUUUUGCUUCCAAGGUUUCAAGGGGGAAAAAAAGAAAAAAAAAAAAAAAAAAAAAAAAAGAGAGAGAGAGAGAGAGGUUGAUUGUAAAUUUAAUUCCUGUAUCUUAGUCAUUUCUGGGCCAUGGGUCAUUAGGCACACAUUAGUGCUGCUGGGCAUUUUUCACAGGGGCUGCACCAGCAGAAAGGAGCUGGGUUUUGCAAAGCCAAGGGUGUGAGAGAGAUCCGUGUGCAUGAGAAAGCUCAGUCCUGUGCUCAGCCCCGCAGUGCUGGGAAGUUCCCCCAAAUACUCCCGGUGUCCGUCUGUCCGCAGCCAUGACAAACAGCCCGGGGAAGCAGGCUCCUUUAAUGGGCUCCAGCAUUUUAUUUAUAGCCCCUUCGAAUAAGUGCAGCUGAUACUUAAGAUCGGCGGAUUUAAUGACAGCGAGCUGGCGAAAGGCCAGGGCUGCAAAUAGCGCCGCUAAAAGUCUUCUCCGCUAUAAAAUUUGUUUAAUGCAAGAAAUCAUCCCGUGCAGGGUUUUUGCCUGGCAUUUUUAUAAUUAGCGGGUGAAAUCGCCAUUUCGCCCCUACGAUCCGCCAGCACUUUAUGGGAUGGGGCUGCCUUGGAGAUGGAUUGUUGUGCUGGAAGAGGCGCUGAAGCUUUGCCACUCCGUAUCAUCCCACUCUUCCUCGGGGACACCCAUGUAUGCCCACUCCCAGCACCUUUCCCUUCCCUCCAGGUGUCAUCUCUCCGAGGUUUGACCAAGAGCCCAUCACACUAAGUGGUAAGGCAGCACGGCUGGGAGCUGGGACCUUUGGGAUCUGUAGACAUGCACUGAAGCCACCACACUUGGUUGGUGUUUGAUAACUUCGCCGCUUUUCACUAAGGAGCCCUCAGCAGCCAGGCUGAUAUCACCGGAGGCAAGACCUGAAUCAGACGCGGAGAAAUCAGCUAUUUAAAUGCACCGGAGUUGCUGCGCUCCCAUUAAACCCCAAGAAACCCAAUUGCAGUUUGGAGAUAGAGGGCCCAGGGGACCUCCUGGUGGGGCAUGACACAGGGAAUUGCCCAGGGAAGGAAUAGCUUCAGGUGAUGUUCCUCUCAGCAGCUGCCCUCCUCGUGCUUCACAUCGCUCCAUCCCUGCCUGGCCUUCUCUGUGUGCUGCCAAGCUUCCUCCGCAUUUAGAUGCCAGCCCACCUCUAUUCUCCACCCAUCUCCUUGGAUCAGCCACCUCAACCACAGAGCCCUGUCAGGGUGCCAGCAGGUGCAGGACCUCCCCAUGGCAGUGGGCAGCAUCACCACCCCAUCCCUGGACAGCCACGAGCCACACAGGAUUUCUGCCUGAAUUAACCUUCAUUAUUCAAAUCCCACCCAGAACACGGGUAGUGGUACCGACUCAGUAAGAUGAGAAUGCUUUUGUAGAAACGUCCCUGCCAAGAGCAAGUUACCCUUGGGCAGGGAGAUAGGGUUUUGUGAUUGCAGUUUUUUGUAUGGAUGAUGUCCUUGCCUGUCUCAGAGAGGCUCACUGUAAAGGCUCAGAGGUUGGGUGCCAUUGCUCUGCAGUACAUGGGCAUGUCCAACCCACAGCCCCACGAGCUGCAGAUAGAUGAGGAGGGUAAUGUAAUUCCAUCUUUGGAAAUGUCAGACUUUAUGGAUGAAUAAAAUACAUUCCAUUUUCUUCUGUUUAUCAAUAUCGGGUGAGAACAGACUAGAAAUUGCUUAUAAAUGGAUAGCAUCAGGAGAGAGGCCAUCUAUUUGUUAUCUAUAGCAGAAGCUGAGCACUGAUCCUACUGUGGCAGCCACAGGUCAUAGAAUCAAAGAAUCACAGAAUAUCCUGAGUCAGAAGGGACCCAUGAGGAUCACUGAGUCCAGCCCCAUCACCUCUGCAUAGAAUACAAUAAAUGACUAAAAUAGAAAAGCGAGGCAUGGAUAGAAGAAAGAGCAACGUCGGGUUCUCCUCCGUUCAGCCAAUAAUUCUGACUACACAGUGUUUAACGUUUGGUGAUGCCAUGUACUGGUUUUUCCAUAAGAUGGUCUCAAAGCCGCUGUGUGCUCUGAGUUUCGAUGGGAAAUCCACGGUGCCAUGUGAGGGUGGGCUCCCCAGAGCUCCAUGGGGUGUGCAGGAGGGAUACAGUCCCCAACAGCACCAUAACGGUUAAAGGAGAGAUUUCAGGAAGGGGAACAGAACAGCAGAGAGUGAACUUUGCAGAUAAAUUAUAGCUAAAGAGGAAUGAAACAUUAUAGUUUCAAUUACUGCUGUGCCCAGCCACGCAGGUAGUAAUUCAAACAAGAAACAAUUGGCGGAUUGUCACCCUCAAAUCAGACACAUACCAUUUAAUUCCAUUUACUGAGGGUUCACUGACUGUAUUUUGAAUCAAAUACAGCCAUUAAUGUGCAAAGAUCUGAAAAAUGCAUGUGUCCCUUUUACAAAUGUGACAAUGAGACGCUAAUUCCUGUAAAGCCCUUUUUUCUUCAGGUUGGACUGCUCCUAUUGCCUUUAGUUAUGCAGAUAUUACUUAUUAAGAGUUUUAAUAUGUCAGGCUGGUUCUUUUGAAAUGCCUUGUGCCUUUUUGUUCAGAGCGUGCGGAAAGCGCAGCUAAAUCCAUUCUUACGUUCCAUCAUCCAAACUUAGCAAAUUGAUUCGAAUGCAGGAAAAAAAAAAGCUACUUUCAUUAAAACAAUUAAAUCCUUACUAUUAUUGCUGUAUCUGGCUAUUACAGCACAAAUAUAAAUCAUCGGUUACAGGAGCUAAAAGCUUUCAGCUGGAAUUGCUCUACCGUCUGCCCCAUGCCAUGGGCAGGGAGGAAGGAUGACGUGCACCAGGCUUCUUUACGGGAGAUGCUGCUGCCUAAAUAAAAAAGUCAAGUCCAUAAAGUGAAUAUUAUUGUGCUACCUUGUUUCUCCCCAGCAGUGAAGCAAUGCAUGCCAAUGGGCAGAGCGAAUAGGAGGAAAUAGUUGGGUUGGUUUUCCCGCUCCUCGUGAAUUGGGGGACAUUUUGGAAGGGGCACAAAGGUUUCGGGGGCAGUUGAGUGCUUUUGUUUUCCUUUUCUAAAUAAACCACGGAUCUGCACUGCCACACACUCCCCGUGGGGUCACGAAGUGUGCUGCAGAAUAAAAACGGAGCUUUCUGUGAUAGUGCACUUGCCCUUCAGAGCCGCUUGGAUUGCAUCAAAGGGCAAAUUGUUUAAAUAUAAUUUUCCUGAUUACUGAAUAGGUCGACCGAACAGGAUAUGAAAUGCAAAGGCUUUUCUCAUCUUGCUCUUUGCAUCAUCCUAGGGCACACCUCGCUACAGGUGCUGCCUGUUGGCUCAAGGACACUUCCAGGCGGCAGAAUAUCAAAGGAGCAGGGAUGGACAGCCCAGUGCAUCCUGCACAUUUUAAAUUGCUUAAAAAGACUCUUUUGCAAAGGGAGUCUGAGGCAGGGACCGAAAUCAGUGCUCAGCAUGUGGAUUAGACAAACAGAGUGGUCAUUAGCGCUGAUUGUCAUUGUCACACAAGCACAGACUGUUAAUUCAGCCCAGGAGUCAUUAGAAACGAGCCUCAGCGGGGAGAGGGGUUGGUGUUGGUGUAGAUGCUGGAUGGUGGCUCUGCUGGCUUGGCAGAACAUGAAGGAGACCCCUGAGAUCCUACACUGCUCCGGUUGUAAAUUCCAAAUGGAAACUCCCAGGAAUUUGCCAGGAAAAGGAUAAUCACUCAUUAUUCUCAUUUGUGGAAAGCUGUUUAAACCCAGCCCUGCUUUUCUCACCCCAUUCCCAAGCUGAGCUCAUCACCUUUCUGAGAAGCCACGCUCUUCCAGGACAGUGUCUCCUCUUCCAGUGAGCUUUUGCCCUGGCUUUUCUCCUGGGUCCAUUUGGGAGGGUUCCAUCUUUGCCCCAGUGCUUUUGCCAGUGGCUGCCACCAUCCAGAGAGAUAUUCAGCCUCAAGGAGUCCCCAGCAAAGAGCACCCACUGCCUUCCAGCCUCACCCCAGCAGCAGCGUUGAGGUCCCACAGCUGCAGAGCAGCGCCCGUUGUGCUGUGCGGGUGCCCCUUUAUUGGAGUUCCUCCCACCACGUGCUUGUAAUUUAUUUGUAUUUCCAGCAGAGAUAAUUGAGUUAUCAAUUCUGUGCUCUUUUGGGCCAGAAGCAAAGAGAUCAGAGAGCUGUUUUAUACACCUAAUUAUAGAUUAUUUCCCAUAGCUAUAAAACCACAGAGGGACAGAUCCAGAGAGCAUCCUUUUCAUCUCCACUGACUUUUGCCUUUGCUCUCUCAGACUCGGAUCAGAAGGGCCUCCAGACAAAACAGUUGUCAAAAGCAAGGGCUCCUUAUCUCCUCACAGGACAAAACCUCUCGGCAUCCCAGUAGAGACCGUGCACAGUUGCUUAAAGAUCAAAUUCAACUUAUACUUAACCAAUCUGCUUAAGCCUUUAGCACCUCAUUGAGUCGUGCUGAGAUUUAUUCCGUUUCUGCACACUUUGGCUAUAAUCUGGUUCAUGACAAUGGCCUGGGGGUCUGCUGAGGAUGUAAAAAAUUGAUUUUCUUUGCCACAUGCAGGCUUUGUGGGCUUGCAUUUGGCAUGGCCCCUCAUGCCCCUGCUAGCUCCUAUGCUCAGCCUGCUCCCUCCUCCCCAGGCAGCUCUGAGCACCCUGCAGCAUCCGCAGAUCCCGCAGAGCUGCAGUGCAGAGCAGGGGUUGAGGUCCGGCAUACCCGAAUUUUCUAUGUAUGGAAAGAAAUGGGAAGUGUCCGUGCGUCGGUGUUAAGUUUCUGGUGGUGACACGCAGAGGCCAUCCGAGAUGUAUGACCUAGCAAAUGUAUUGUAACGCACACAUCACAUUCGUUCUCUGGGUAAAUAGAUAUUGUCUAGGGUACAUUACAUCUGUGCCUUCGUGUUUAAUUUAAUGUAAGUGAACUGCCUUAAUUUCUCCAAAUUGUAGUAAUAAACAUAACGUUAACGGUGAUACUGCUAAUAAUUUAUUUUGCAAGCGAUUAAUCAACAACAAACUCUUUUAAUUACCUGUUCUGAAAUGUCAAACUCUAAACUAAUUACAUGUUAUUACAUGAAUUCAUGUAUAUGUAUACACAAAUACGAAUUCCAAGGGUAAUUAAAAUGAAUAAACCAUCAGAUUUGGUAAAAUCAUGCAGCUGAGAGAAGUUUGCUCUCCACUGCAUUUCUGCCUCUUUGCAUUUCAUCCUCAGCACAAAGGGAGCUAGAUUCCAAGGCUCUGAGCGAGUCGUUUGUGCUUCUGCAAAAAAAUAUUACCCACAGAAAGUGGCAAACCCCGUGGGAUCUAUGCUGAGAACCACAAGGAAGAGAGGAAAGCAGCUGUGCUGCUCUGCUGGGGGGAGUACAGAGUGUGGGGCUCAUUUGGGUGCUCCCUGUGCAGGGGGUGAAACCAAGCAGGACAGAAGUGGGUGGUGUACAUUUGCUGUACUCAAUAAUUGGCAACGAUUUUUGGAAGGAGAUUGGGGGUGAAAUUAACAGAUUUGGGGCACGACCAAAUCUGUUCUCCAUUUUGUGUCCUUGUUGAGUCUCUCAGUGCAGGCACAACACAGUGCUCUUUGCAACACCCUGGUGACCCCUAGAUGAGACUUGGAAGACCACUUCUUUGCACUGGCACUCCAGACAUCAUGGCCAAGUGCCCCCAGCAAUGUGGGGCUGUAUGCCAGUGGGUCACGAAAGGAUGGAGACCACCAGCUUGGAGGGUCUGGGAAUGAAGCCUUUAAUUCAGGGGUGGACACUGAGGCAGUCCCAAUGGCUUGCAGCAUGGGCUGGAAGAACAGGAUGAUUAAUGAGAGCAAUGGCACGAAGGAGCCAGGAACUAAGUAAUGAGACCUUUAUUUGAUACAUAAUACAGCCGGGGCCCUCUAUAAAGAGAAUACCAAGAGUAGGGCUAAGUUUCACAGUUCUGGGAAUGUAUCAGGAAGGGGGAAAGCUUUGCUGACUUUGCAGCCAAACGCCUGGGCCAUCCGCAAGUGUUGUUCGCAGUGAGCUUGGGACAUGUUAAUUUGGUCAUAUAUCUUCAGAUGGUGGCAAGAUGCCCUGACUUUUGAUUUACUGUGCUGAGUGGGUCUGUGUGAUGUUGUGGGUUUAAAAUGAGGUGUCCAGAGCCUGAUUCAGUCACAGGAUCACUGAAUUCCAGCUGGGAGAUGAAGAAGCCGUUAUACACACACAACAAGAACUUCCAGCCAAAAAUUACUUAUGGUUUCAAUUAAAGGAGAAGAAGUUGCUGAUUGUUUAGGUAUGGAUGUCAGAAACACAGCAGUUAACAGCAGAGAUGAAUGAGAGAUAGUGAGGUGAUAACUUAGAUAAAUUGGUAUCUCAUCCAUAUUAAGGAGACAGCUCAUCCUCUGGUGCUGCUGGAUGACAUGAAGAGUGGAGUGUAUAUGGAUACUAAAAAACGUUGGUCUUAAAGUUAAAUCCCCAAGAACCAUCAGAAAUAAGUCUCAGAAGCCAAAGUGAGAUCUGAUGCACGCUGCAAAAAUAUGCAGUCUGUCAGGGAACGCUGCUCUCUCCAUAUAACUUCCACCGUUUGUGGGACAAUUAUAGAGAAAAUGAUACUGUGAUCUGUAAAGCAGUUCCUGCAGUGGUUUUAUUCACUAACUCGAUGCCACGCAUAAUCAUAGCCAGUAACAUCUCCAGAGGUGUGUGCAUAAUAGAGAGACAUCAAGUCAAUGAGUCAAAACAUCAGAAAAUAAAAUUCAGAUGAACAUCACUUGCAGAAAUUCUAUCAUCUGUCAUUUAACGCUGUCUGAAGACCUCCACGUUGAAAUAAGGCGUGGAAACCAGAAGUUACCCCAGGCAGCAGUCCUUAGGACCUGCACGGACUCAGGGCUUUCUGCAAGUUGGGUUGAGUGCCAAAGAAGUUCUCUUGCGAUCUUAAAACUCAAGCACCCAAAAAACACCAUAGAGGGGAAGGCAGGGAGCAGGGAGGAUCUGUCCUGCCGUGUCCCCACCUCAGAUCCUGCCCAGCAUCACCCAAGCAGCCGCUGCUGGGAGCGGAGUUGCUCCUGGAUCACCUUAAGGCUAUUUGCAGCUCUUGCUGAUGCCCUUUCAAUACCCAAUCCCGAAACUUUUCAUGCGAGGAAGCUUGCAGGAUGACAGAUUGCACCUUAAAACAAAGAGGUAAUAGCUCUUAGGUCCAGAUCUGUUCUUGGAACUAAAUUCACUGCAGAAGAAGUGUUUCUGCACAACUGCAUAAUGCCUCAAAGUGGCAUUUUACAAUCUUUAAAUUCCAACACCGAUGAAGAAUUCUGCUUUAAACUACUGCAGCAGCCCAGCCCCCCUUUAUUUAUGAGUAAUAGGCUUUUCAUUUAGAUUUAACUACAGAUUCGAGUGGUUUCCAUGUGCCAGGGCUCGGAGUCACACCAGUGUCUCCUGAGGUGGCCGUGCUGUUUCCACAGAGUCACUCAGGAUCCCCACCAAACCUGUCUUUGCAUACAUACGUGUGUAUUUUAUAUAGAUGUACACAUGCACUUCAUUUUUAAAAAGACAAAGUUUUUAUUCCAGGCUUCAUUUUCCUUUAAACCGUAUGAAGCCAAAGUUCGAAAGGAUGACCCCAAAAUUGCCAGUUUGAUUGUAAUUUCCCCCAAAAGAUUUUGGGUUGUAGGUACAUAGAGAACGAUGGCUUUGCUUCCCCCUUUCUGCUCAUCAUCCCAUGCAACGCUGAUGUGCCAGGAAGCGUGGAUGGGAUCAGGGAGCUUGGUGAGUUUGCCACAUCAGUAGUCACUGAGAGUGCCUGAAGUUUCAUUUUUCAAUGGAAAGCUGCAGUGAAACGAGUAUUUUGCUACUCAUCUUGUUAUUAUUCAUCAGUGCUUCCAAGCACCUCUCAGCCCUUUGUUUCUUGGGAAAGGCAUGGUGCUUAAAGGGGCUGAAAGGUGGAUUUUGUGGAAAGCCCAACCCACAUCUUUGAUCCCAGCGGUUUUGUAAAGCAUUCGUUUUGCUCGCUGGGAAAAUCUCUGCCCUCCCCACUCCCUCACCUCCCCCUCUUUCCCCUCCACCUAAGUUACCUCGUCUGGAUCCGAAGGAACGCUUGCCAUCCUUUGAAGAGGUAGUCUCGUCCGAAAAAUCAAUAGUCAACAUUGUCUUUAAAUAGUCUGACAUUUACCUUUACAGCAGUUUUCAUUUCUUUCCCAGAUUGCUCAGACGUUUGUAUUACCCACACACUACAUCCCUGAUCUCUCGGCCGGGAGCUUUGCACGGAUGCAGCCCCGGUGCUGCAGAGCGGCCACCAGCAAGGAACUGCAGCACGAUAAUUAACAGGACGGGAGCUCACUAAUAGAAGCAUCUUUAACUAAUUUAUGGAAGACAUCAGGUGAGAAUAAUUACAAGCAGAAGGGUAUUGUAAAUCCCUGAAGAAAAUACACUUGGAAUGCAGUUUUCCCAACAAGCAAAUCUGAAUGCUAGCCCAAAGGUCAGAAAUAAAAAGGCUGAGAGCUUCAGCUCCCCGAGCAGGCACCUCUCCGAUCCCUUCUUGUCAAGAAAUUGUCUGGGGGUUCAUUUAGAAAGCUGCUUGUUCAGGGCAGGGCCAUUUGCAAUCUGGGAAAGUUAAGCAAAUUAGCAGAAUUAUUAGGUAAGAGGCAAUUCUCCACAGCCUGCAAGGCAACCGCUUGUUAAAUGAGCUCACACCAGAGAGUUGCACUGAUCGAGUGGUGUUUGCAGAGACGGGGCUGUGCAGGCAUUUGCUCUGAAAUAAUACUGCUGUAUUCCCCUGGAAAAAUUAAAAAAAAAUGGGAAUUUGUGCAGGCUGAGCUGGAAGAUGCCUCUGUCUUCCAUACGCAUUCCUGCUUCUCUGCUCCUUCUGCUAUAAUAAAUAUCAUAAUCCUAGCAAAUGAGAGAAGGAGAUUAACCCGACACCUUUAACCCAGUUACUGCUUAAAAUAGGGAGCAGUGUGGUGCCACGAGGCCCCAAAGCAGGUGGCUCUGCACCCGCUGUCCCCUGGGGCUCAUAGGGACAGCUGUGCACUGCAGCCCCGCUGCUCUGUGCAGUGUUGGGAGUGGGAUCCAACUCAGGUCCUGCAAGGAGCCCACCCAAGGGUGGCUCACACUGCUCACUUGUUUUUAUAUACUCUUUGCCUAUUGAUUUGAUAUUUUUAUACCUUAUACAGUGCACUUAGCACAGAAAAAAAAAAAUGGAUUAACCAAGUAAAUGUGCUUUAUUAGCGGAUCUCUGAUGGAGAAUGAUGUCGGUUUUCCAUUUAAAAGAUGCAUCGGAUUCAUCCACUCAUGAAUCAAUUAGUUCAUGCUUGAGGACCUCCUAACAUGCCACAUAAAAAACUCCCAAUGUCAAACUGCACGCUGGGUGGAACAACCAAGGGUUUCAAAUGAAAAAAGUGCAUCACUGGGAAACCUUUGGCUCUUCCACCACCACUAGGAUGGAAGCACUCUGCCCAACUCUUAGUUAACACAUUCUUUCUGUUCCUUGGUUUCUUAAAAUCUUUCUUUUUUUCAAGUUUUUAUUGACAGCUUUACACUCCUCCCUCUGCUAUACAAUGGAGACGGGCACAUAUCGUAAGCCUUUCCAAUGGUAGUUUUGGGGUCAGGCUGAUUAGAUUUGGGAAGUGUCAAUUGUUGAAUGCUGUCCUCCUUCUGUCUGAGACUAACAACUCUCCCUACUCAGAGGGUUGGCCCUCUUUCUGUCCUUCCUGAGGUUUAGGGCUCAUUGGUCCAUGCUCCACACCAUGAAAAGGCACAUACACUUUCCUAGUGAUUCACAUUUCUGCUUAGAUAAGAACCAACAGGCUCCAUCCCACCCUGGAGCCCCUGGGACUAUGUGGAAGGUCGCAGUGUUUAUUUUUGGUCUUGUCCAAUUAAAGACAAUGACCUGGAGUAGAUGAGAUGCCUGGGCAUGCAUUCAUAUCACAGGCAUAAUGCAAGAACCGUAGGCAUUUAAAUGGGAAUUCUUUCUCACCCGGUUAGACCGAUGCGUAAGGAAAUAAUCCAAGUGGGGCAUUGACAAGAUAUUUUUUGUUGUAAGUCUGCAUGCUAAAACCCCUAAAUAAAAGGAUUUUACUCCUUGAGAGAAAGAGGAAAGGCUAUGCACACCCAGCCUGAGGUGUCACUACAACUCAAUGGGAGCAAUGCACGAGCACUGAGCUGCUGGGAUGGCUGCCUGCACAUUGGGUGCCCACACUAUGUACAGAGCAGAGGGCACUGCUUAAACCUCAGUCAAAUAAGUAAACAUGGACAAGGAAGUAAAAACAGACGCACUUUUUUCUCAUUGCUGCGAAGAAUUCAGGCCAUGCAAGCACCAGGGCUGUGCAAAGAAGAGCAACUAUGUUUAAGAGCAUCCUUCUCUCUCUUGGAUGUACAUCCAACAGCAGAUAACAUCACCCAGCCCUUUCUGCUUUUGGAAACCAUGUGCAGCACAACUUGCUGCUCACAUUUAAUCCAAACUGAUGUCCUACGGCUGUCAUAUGCAUGAUUAUGGCAGUCGUUUUUAAUUAGUGAUUGUGUCAAUAGUAUUGACAUUUUCAUCACUUUUGGGGGAAGUAGAGAAUAUUUUCCAGCAGGUGAAGUCCCCUCUUUGCAGUUCUCUUCCCCUCCAGCUGCACCUACUGGAUAAAUGAGCUAUGCAUCUUAUUAAAAAGAAAGCAAGAGCAUUAAGUCUGUUCUCUGCUUAAGUACAUUACAGCAACUUAGGCAACACGAAACUCAAGAAAGGCAGAAAAGCAAAUACCCUCUGUCCUAUGGCAAGAUUUACAAUCUUGUUCUGAGUGCAAUAUUUAUUAUACGGCUUAACAGAAGCUCUGGCAGGAUGGGGGAAAUGCUGGCGGCCCCGUGACAAGGAGGAGGCGUUCAAUAGCUUGCUGGGAAGUGGAGUUGGACACGAACUGAUCAACCAGCCAUUACACUCAGUGAUAAACACCCUGCAGGAGCCAUCAUUCACCCAGGAAGAAAGAGGAAGGCAGAUCAUUACAUUUAUUGGUCAUAGUUUUUAAAGAGUCAAUAAAGACCCACUAGAAAAGACACGGUUAGGAGCAGGAAUAUAUAUAUUUUUUUCAUGUAUCUUGAAAAUACCUUCAGCUCAGUUUGCUUUCUGCCCAAUACGUCAGGGUGAAUCUUCAUCCUAGGUGAUGGUCCCAGUGUAGACGGUGCUCAUAUUGUACAGUUUUUAAUGUCUUUAACCAUCUUUAGCUUUGUACCCUGAUAGCCCCUCCAGGCUAUAUGUCAAUGCCAUCUGGGAGUAAAAGAAGAGACUUCUGCUCAAGUAACGCUGUAAUGUAGAUCUCUCGACUAAAAUUGCACUUCCUUCACUUGACAAACUGUCAGCACAGAACAAUUAUCUGCCUGUUGGUUUGCUUGUCUUUUCUUUUUUUCUCCUCUCAGAAAAAAGAAAAAAAAAGAAAAAAGAAGAAGAAAAAAAAAACCAUACAAAGGAAAAGGACCUGCAGAGUAAAAUGCCGUGGGCAAAAUCCACAUAAUCUGAUUGCUGCGCCCAGAGAUGCAUUGGUGGACCACCAAAGGUAAAAGUGGGUCUAAUGCUAAAGGAGAGGGACAAUUUCUAGCUCCUUUCUUUCGGGGAUUUCCAGAGAGGAUAUUGCUAAAUAGAAGAUUAGGGAGGAAGAGGCAAGAGUCAUUAGACCCCUCUGCUUGUCUUGAGGGAGAAACCAAAACAGGCUGGAAGAGUCCAAAGCUUGUGUCCUGCUCAACAAGCUGAAGGAACCAUUUGAUUUUUCUCUCCUGGUAAGAAAGGAUGAGGAUGAUGUCUUUAGGGAAGAGAGCCAACCUGAUUUUUUGCUAGCCAUCUUGGUGUUAAUGGGACCGUGCAGUUCAUUUGGAGAAUACCCACAAAGCAUGAGUAGAGCCCCAAGAGGUGUAAUCUAAAUUAGUGGGUAAAUUUAUUUGUGCACUUUUUUUUUACUGUUUUAUUUUCCUUCUUCCCUUCUGUACCACCUCUUUUGCCACCUCCUCUGCCUCACUUGACAGAUGAAUGUGUUCAGGUCUUUGGGACAGAUAAUGUGUCUGUAUCCCUUUUAAAAGUCCUGUACAAACACUAUGGAUAUGAGAGUGCAGGUGUAUUUAGUCUGGUGUGUUUAGCAGAUUUAGAUUAUGAAUUACUGCUCAAAAUAACGUUUGCAUUUGCUGACAAAGGUCUUUAUUACAGAAGAGGUCAAGAAAAAAAGAUUAUUCCUGCUAAUUAUCCACUGCUAUUUAAUAUUUGCACAAAAGGUUUGCAAGACAGAGUCCUCAGCAUUGCUUUGUUUGAGAAGCUAAUAGGGUUUCUAGGAAACCAGCAGGGUCUGGAGGGCCAUCAGAUCAGCCUGUUAGUGGCUAUGAAGGACAAUUAGGCCUGAUGGAGUUACAGGGUGGUUGGCUAAAGGAUGGCAGUCCCUGAGCCAGGGCCUGAUGCUGGGGCAUUCAAAGUCAGUGGUAGAACUUCCACUCAGAGCUGUGCUUUAUGAGAAGCCAACUGGAGAGGAUCCAGUUUUCACACCCUGGGUAGGUCCAUGUCCUGGUUGAAAUGGAAGCUCCAUUUGCUCCUAUGCAGAGCAUCAGAAGGGAUUUGAGGGUGAACAGGUUUGACAGACAAACUGUUGGGAGGAAUAUUAGCAAUUAUUUUUUGGCCCUGGUCUUAGGUUUGUCCCUGUAUAUUAGCAGUCCUUGGAAAGUUCCCCCAAAGUCUAACAGCUGCCUUUGGCUUGGCCCCCACAUUUCUUGCAUUGGUUCAUAGUAGCCUGUAUCGUUCUACAAAUUCCUUAUUAAGUGAAUUGAAGUUCCCAUUCAUAAAGAUAUAAUUAACCAAUAAAUAUACCUGCAGAAAUUUCCAAACGUAGAUGUCUGAAGGUGAGAUCCAUGUUUAAGCUCCUAAAUACAUGGCCCAACUUUAAAAUCCCCACAUCCAUCUUCUUGCUUCAAGUGAAAUGGAAGCUUCCUACUAUUCAGUGCUCAGAUGGCUGUGGGGUACCAAAACACAGACCAAGGUGAUGUUUUGGCACACGGGUUUAUAGAGUGAUCAAAGUAGUGUGACAUCAUUGCACAACAACUGCAUCAGAUGAUAAAAUGCCAUGUACUCCCAUAUAACAUGUUGUAUGGAUGCAUACCGCUGUUCCCAUAUAUAUCCAGAACUCUUCUGGGAGGAUUUCUGGGACAACAAAUGCUUUCAGUAUUUCCUGCAGAGGAACAUGUGCCUGGGAUCUGUGUAGAUGCCAACAGCCAAAGCCUGGGAGCCCCAUUAAAAGAAAUCACCCUGAGCUGCUGCAGCAGGUGAGCCCUUGUCCACCCAUGCUUCACCAGGAGAAAACCUUUUCAGUUACAUUCCGUGGUUUUGUUCCAGUUGUGAUGUCUUCAGCUUCCCCAUUUGUCAUUUUUUAGUAAUUUAAUUAACAUUCCGAAGGAAGAAUUUUAAUAAAGGUGCUGUUUACACCGAAUGCAGCCUUGGGGAGUGAGGGAGAAUAACCCAGACUGCAGGAGUGGGGAGCAUGCUAUUUUGGAAAGCCAAGCCACAGCCUGCUGGAAGCACCCGGUUCUACUCAACCUGUCCCAGUAUCACCCACAGCCCAAACUGCCUGUUUGUGCUGGAGAUUCCUUUCCCCAGUGCUUUCAUCCCCAUCCUUCCUUGCUUAUGAAUCUUGGGUUUGGCAGCAAGAGCUUUAGGGUGGCAUUUGCACAGCGAUUCUGCAUGCACGCUCAUUCCUGUCUUCACUGAUGCUUUCACUUGAUGCAAAAUUAGGGGGUGGGAUUGGAUAAUGCCCAGAAACCAGCACUGUUGAUUACAAAGCAAACAAUUGGCAGGGAAAGGAGUGUGCAAAAAUGCGUGCCUGCAGCUUGCAGCUGCAGAGGUGGUGACCAUUGGCUAUUUUGCCACGUGCUGUGGCUGUAAAGCUACAAGCAUCCUUCCUGCGCAUGGAUGUCAAUUUGCCCCAUGAUGCUGCAGGGAUUCAUUGGAGCUACUCACUUUCCUCUGUUUACAGGCUAAAAUAUUUGCAACUUCAUGUUGUAAGGGCUUGGGCAUCUCCUAUUAGACAAGGAUAAAGCCCUUCUGGAUGCACUGGUGGGUGUUUGUAGAGACGUUGCAUUUUUGGAAAAAAAAAAAUAAUAAUUAUUAUUUCUUUUAUAUAUUUCCAGGGUGGUGUGAAGGAGAACAUCCUCCUCCAACAGUUCAUGCACAGCUUCCCACUUAUGCAUUUUUCAGAACGAAUGCAGCAAAUAUACCUGAUCAGUGCUGAUACAACUGCUUCUCCUCCCCGACAUAUUUACACUAAGAGAUUGAUGAACCACAGGAAAAGAAGAAAAUAACAGAACAAACAACUUAUCUUCCCAGAAGCUCCCUAGAAACUUAUCUGUCAUCACUGCCCAGGCUGCAGCAAGAGGGGAUUUCAGCAUGGAAGGUAUUCUCAGUGUAUGCUGUUCACUCUGAGGGAACUUUUGACACCCAAGCAUUCUUUUCAGUGUGAGAAGCGAUUACUGCUUCCCAAAGGGGAGAGCUGGAGACCUGAGCCCUCAGCUCUGCACAUGCUCCUCAACCCCAACUUGUUCUCAGGAAAAAGUACCAGGUAUUUGCCUGAUCUAACGGAAUACAUGGAAAAAAAACAAACAACAACAACCAAACCACUAUUUGGAUUUCAGUAGGACUUCAGCAUAGACGCUUUGACACUUAAGGUGAGAAAAAUGAGCUACAGAGGAAAGCAUGGGUUUCCUUUUAGCUGAGGAGGGAUGCUCCUGCAGCUCCACUGCUCCUCAUGUCUUUGUCUUUAAAACACUCAGUGACAUAAAAAUUAGACGCACGUUAAACCUCAAAUCUAGCAAAUAGCUCCAUCUCUUAAAGCAUGUGAAUACUCCUGAUACUAUUAAGAACAUUUAACCGGUACCUGAGGGACUGGGGACCUGGAGUCAGGCGACCCAGUUUCCUACAUAAGAAAAGAGAGAAAUGUCUGCCUCCUCUAAUGCCAGGGGUUAUCCUGGGCCAGGUAUCUUUAAAAAGUAAAGAUGUGAGCAAUCUCAUAUCAGACUUAUGCAUCCAAAUGGCUCAUUAUACCAGCAGUAAUAGCUUGUGAUAGUCCUAUAGAUUUACAGUACUUAGGAAGAGAUGAUGCCCAACGUCCUUUCCCAACAAUCAUUAUGACAUGGGGAAAACCAGUGAUUUUCUUUAAGUCCAUUAGCAUAAUAUUUGUGCUUAUGAGGAUUAGACCAGCAGACACUUCACAGGUCUUUAGAAACAUAAGCCCAACACAUUCAAAUGGAGACUUUUUUUGGAACAAAGCUAUUAUCUCUCAAAUCACCCAAUAUUGCUGGCCAGUUUGGGGCAGCUGGGAAGCAGCAGGUGCUUCCACCCCAUUCCCUGCCUUGCCAGCCCCAGAAUUCCCAUUUCGUGAGCAGCUCAGCGCAUGGAACAAAACACAAGGAGGGAACUUCAGAUCAAAACGUUUAUUCUUCAUUGCAGCGGAUGAAACACAGGCACGAGGCUCCUGGGGGGGAGGUGUCUGAGCAAUCACACGUAAAACGUACAGCAUUUGCACUUGAAAUACACAGACCUGAAUCACAGCUGGGAUCAAUACAGGAGGACGAUAGAGAUUAUCAAUCUUGAGUGGUCUCCGUUACACAGAAUUGACUGGCAGCCACAUAAUGGCUCGGGCUCAGCCCACCAGUUUAGAGCCCGGGUGACAGAUCUGCAGACGCCAGCCAUCAGCAUCCCUCCUUGGCCCCUCUCACGUGCCCAUUUCUUCUGCUGUCCGGGUCAGCCUCCGAGGUGCGUCUGAGAGAUCAAUGCACAGCUACAGCUGGUUGAAGGGGACCAAAUCCAUUGAACAGUUGAUUUGGUUCCAUUUUACCAGCUUUAGCAAAGCAUUUGGCCUCACGCUCUGCAAAGCAAAGAGGGGAACUCCUCAGGGCCUUUUCCUUCACAGUCGCCAGGACCUCUUCUGAACUUGCUGCCUGACGUUGCACGGGUUCACAUGGCUUCGCUUUCAGGCAUUCAGGAUUUAUUUAAGCUUCUUAGCAGCUUUGGCUGAAGAGCGAGUCUGAAUUAAAGAGGCAGUUUUAAAAGCAGUGGAACAGUCUGCAGCACUCAGUGCCUGCCUGUAGCCUUUUAAACCCGGUGUUUGGCUCUGUUUUGAAGCUGCAUUGCUACCACAGUGUGACUGAGUAGUGUCCUAAUCCAGGUCAUUUAAUUGCCACCUCCAGCCUUCUUUCUUUCAGAUCUUUUGUCUGCUAUCCCCACCCGUGCCCUGCAUUCUGGUAACUCAAGUUUUCUCAUCUACCUUUAAAAUCAGUGCUUUCCAUGGCUUUCAGAUCUGUUGAAGACAAGCAAGGACUGUAUUUACCACCAUCGGGAGGGCGUUGAGUGGAAGAGAAAGCGGAGCAGCCCUGCAGCCUCCCAGCCCCAUCCUCUGCAAGGGCUCAGCCUGCAGCUCCCGGAGAGCCCCACGCUGUGAGCACCCACUGCUCCCAAUAACUCAGUAAAUCAGAUUUUUAAAUCACAGCAGCAGGAGCCAAUAAAGCCAGACCUCUCCUUCGUAACCCAGCGCCACGCGCAGAUAUUGCACAUCGCCACGUGCGUAACCUAUUUAAAGAAUUUACAUGCAUCGCGAGGCAAAGGUGACUUUUUCCCCCCUCUCCCUCACAGCCCACCGCACACACCACGACAUGACACCGAGAAAAAAGCACCUGUGCUGAAAGGCACUGCAUGCAGAGAUAUUGCAUGUGGGCCGGUAUUGCUGGUCCCCAAGAAAUCCAGGCUUUGCAUUGUAACAGUAAGUAGUGCAGAUCACUUAACUGCCCAGCCCCAGUACUGUAAGCUGCCUAUAAAUAAAUGCGGAGAGAGAGCGAAAGAGAGAGAGAACAUCUUUUUUAAAAGAGCUCUACAAUUAAUUUAAUCGAGUUAUCUCUAGGUACCUUUUCAAGAGACAAUCAAGCCAAGGAGCUAAAUGGAAACUUAGACAGUGAGGACCUAGAAGUAUUAAACUCAUCCUUUGGUGAGUUAUAGGAGGGAGGGAAGUAAUUAUUUACCAGAGAACGGGAGGAGGUGGAAGUGCCAGCAGUGACCGAUGCUGCACCGAGACUGCAAGCUAAACCCUGACGGGCAUAUGGAUUUUGGGAGGCAGAGCAAUGAACUGCCCGAACAUCAGCAUGGCGUGCUCCAGGUGCCCUUGUCCUGUCCCCAUCCCAUUGGUUUUGGCAGGAAGGGCGUUAAAACAAGCAUCUUCUGCUGGAGAUGAGUGCUGCUCUGUUCCCCUCGCUUUGCUUCAGGGAGUGCCCCGCAGCACAUCCGAAAUCAAUGCCAGCACGCGCCGACAUUCCGUAACGUUUUGUUUGAAUUCUCUGCAGUGAGUUAUGAGUGAGGUUUUCCUUUUUAGAAAAUUAGGUUUUCUCUUCUGGAUGCCAUUAAUCACGACUAACGAUGGCUCUGGCGGCGAGGCUUUCCCAGAACUGAGGAAAAGCAUCCCCACACCUCUGCUGCAGGGCUGCAGCACAUGGGGCUCACAGCCCCCACACACCUGGGCCCGGCCAGCAGUGCAGCAAGAGGAACUGCAGAGGCUUUGCUGGAUGUGUUCAAAGGUGUGAGCUGUGCUGAAACCCAGUCAGACCAGGCUUUGGUGUCACUUACCCUUCCUAUUGCCCUCCCAGGUUCAAGGACCGGGCGACCCAGCGCCACCAAAUUUAGGUUUGCUGUCUGAAGGUCAUCCUCAUCCAGUUGUUUCCUCCCAGCAGUGCUUGGAAUUGGGUCUCACUGGGAAGGUCCUUUCUGGUCGCUCUGUCCCUAGGACCCUGCCCAUGGGACCGACACCGCCCCAGCCAGGAAUGGCCACAUAGUGGAAUGGCACUGGGGAGAUAUAGGAACACAUCUCUGAAGCAAAUCCAAGGCAAAAUAGCAAAAUAAAGCUGUGCAUCUCAUUCCCCUCUCUGCCAGUCACUGUGUAAUGCCUCGGUUUUGCUUUUGGUCUAAGUGUCAGCUUUGCAGUUCAUGAUUACACUUCUGAGAGCAGCCAGAUCCCUGUGUUAUCAAAGCACUGCCAUGGCAAGUGGGGCCAAAAGUGGGCAACAUAAGAGAACCUGGGGCAAUGAAGACCUUUGUGCUUUAGCCUCAACAUUCUAAUGAAGAUGUUUUAUAUAGACAGCACAGAAUAGCCAAAGAAUUUAUCAACAUUUGUCGAUAUUCCUAAUGAAGCAGAAGAUUCAACAUGCAAUAGAAUUAGCCUACAAGGAACCCUUGUGUAGGGCCCAUCCUUCUGAGUCCAGAAAUCUCCUGCUUAUUCCAGUCCAAUACCCUUUUGAGAAAUGAACAUCUCUUGAAAUCAUUAUCAUUAUAAGCUAAAAGGCCAAAUGAGACAAAGUACUGUUGCUCUUCAUCUGAAUAAACAAAUCAUUUUUAGAUCAAAUGCAUUAACAAUUUAUCAUGCUAAAAUCCAAUCAAAAGGAAAAAACAACAAUACAGAACAUUGAUUUCUUACAGCUUUAUCUUAAUGAAGUGCACAUUCCCUCUGUAAUUAGCUUUGGAAGGUUUUUUUCCCUUUCCUCAAGUUAAUGUGUUAUUUGAUUUCCAUCCAAAUGUCACUAAAUCUGAGGAAUUUUCCCCAAAAUGAAGUGGCUUUUGAUAAUACAGGAAAACGUCUGCUCUCUCAUUUGGCUAUUUUUCCCCCAAACAGCCAUACUUGUACUGCAGAUGAUUCAACUUUAUUGCAUGGUGUCUUUGCGAGGAUGUUUAAAUCAAUGCCACAGUUGCUGUAUUCUGCACAAUGUGCCAUUUGUAAGCCAGAAAAUACAACCUCGGUGCUUUUAUCCUUUUUCUUACAGACAUAAAAUAUUAAUUUAAUUUAUAUUAUUACAGGGGAAAAAGUGGACUGUGUUUUAUUAACAUUUCUAAAAUUAUAGGUAUUCAACCCAAAAAAUAUGCUUCAGCCAAGGCUGGGAAGUCUUCCGCUUGGAUUUUAUUUGACUUAAUUAAAAAGCACUCAGUUCCUAUGGGCACUAAAGGAGCUGCUGACAGUGCAGUAGCCACUCAGUCUUUCAAAACUAUUACCUGAACUUAAUAAAGUGUCUAUUUAGUUUAUACACCUCCAUGAUCCCACCUGUCUCCCACCAACAUGAUGCAAUUCUUGCUAAUGGCUGGAGAAGGCAGCGGGUUGAUGGCAGCCCACAGGCACCCCAGGCAGAACAAUUCCCAUAUCCUAUUGCCUGCCCUAUCUACCUUUAAUCACAGGGUCACAGAAUGGCUUGAUUUGGAAGAGACCUUUAAAGCCCAUCUGGUCCAACCCCCCGCAAUGAGCAGGGAAACCCACAGCUCCAUCAGUGCUCAGAGCCCCUCCAGCCUGACCUUGGGUGUCUCCAGGGAUGGGGCACCUCUCUGGGCAACCUGUGCCAGUGCUUCACCGCCCUCAGCAUAAAAACCUUCUUCCUCAUAUGCCAAUAUCCGAAGCGUUCAAAUCUCCACCAUGCUUGUAAUGAUCAAUGCUAGGAAAGCUUUUUCCCGGCUGCCUCUCUGCUCCUCCACUACAUAUCUCAUUUAAAUCUUUUCUUCUUUAAAUGAUGCUGAACAGAGGACUAUUGCUUUCAUCCUGCUUCACUGAGUAUUUGCUGAAAUGCAGUGGCUAAUUUGAUAGUCCGGUUUUAUUUGGACGUACUGUCGAGACAGAGAGCAAGAUCUAUAACAGAGAAUAUAACCCCAAAUCCUACCAAUUACCAGCUUAUUCCUUAGUUAUACAGGAGACCACAAGUGACCUUAUCAAAAUCUUGACUCUCAAUAUGAACAUCUUCGUCUUAAUCCAAAUUUCACCCUGGAGCUGAAGGUCCUGCUUCAUACACAGCCUAAGAACUGCGGAGCAUCCAUUGCAGCAGGGAGCCCACCCCUGGGACAGGGCUGCCCGCCGAGAGCUGCAGCUCCUGGAACUGGCAGCAGAAAUAGUUUGGAGUUUGGAUUUUUAAACUCACACACUCAAAGAGAACAAAGCUGUUCCCUAAUACACUUUGUGCAUUUUAUGGACCGAACAAUUAAAGAGGUUUUAAAACAUCUGCUGACUGCAUAAUUCCAUACAGGGGAGUGUACUCAGCAUUUUUAAACAACAACGGGUACGAGAUACCACUUAACAGUACAAAACACCAUCAGUCCCGUUAAAAUCAAUAGAAAAUUAGAUGCUAUGAAAAUGCAAUAUGUGUCCAAUUAGUUAUAAUUGGAGCAAAUGGUGAUGCAGAUAAACUCCUGGAGUAAGAUGCAUUUGUCCGGCCCGCUCCCUGCCUGCUUUCGGCACAGCACGGUAUCGGCAGUGGCAGGCUCUGCUGUGCCCCAUAGCAUGAAGGAUGAUCCCUCUAAUACACGUAUGUUAACUGUUAUCUAAUUAUGGAGCUGCUCUGAGCCUGCAGGACUGUUUCGGUGCCCCACCGUGCGCGGUGAAAAAUGAUCCUCUGUCACACGGAAACCUCCCUGUUGUACUUGACAAAUUAUGCCAGCAAACCUGUUUAAGAACUAAAAAAUCCUUGGACGCGGUGACAGGCCAAGAAAUAUGUUGUUUGGGGACAGAUAUUUAUUUAUUUAUCUGGCAGAGGUUAAGAGCCACCACUCGGUUCACUUCUCCCCUGCCUGUCUCCGUUCUGGCAGCUCAAAAUCCGUCUCACCGAUUGUUUCGCCGGUUUCUUUCAACUCAUAAAAACUCCAUUGCAAGGCAAAACAGGAACUAGGUUAUGCGAUGCCAGCGCUUUAUUUUUAACAUCUCCCCUGCAACACGUUGGCCUCCUCUUGGUUUAAUCUUACAACUAAAGGAAUAAGAGCGACGGUUCCGCACAUCCCCAACCGAGUAUUGCCGCCGGCCGCGCUGCCAACCCUCCGUGCCCUUGCAGGGUAUGGAAAUGUGAAACUACUCACGUUGCUCUCAGUACAACCCAUAUUAACUUUGGGGGGUAUUUUUUUCAUAUAUUUGUCUAUAAAGUAGAGAUUACUUUACACAAACAAUUAGCUCAGAGGUAAGAAGCUAUAACUACCGGCAGGGCUCUUAUUUUAUUCCUGUUUUCUGUUAAUAUUAUUAUUCUAAUCAGCAGUAAGGACUGGUGGGUGCAAAGAAAAGCUCCUGUUUGCCCGGCCCUGAAACCUCCUUGUGUUAUUGCUGCUGUUACUUACACGGGAAAGGGAACUGUCUCUUGAGGAAGGGAAAAAAAUGGAGGUGGCAGCUUUUAUUUGUUAAGCUGACUCAGCUGGACAGUGGAACAAGAAAUGUUCAGAUCCAAUCCAUAACUUUUGUGGCCGCUCUAAGGACGUAUUCUUCCUCGACACUGAUAAAAGUUUAAUAUGGAGUUGCCCAGGUUUUUAAUAAACUUGUCAACAAAAGAGCAAGGCAAAUUGAUGGGGACCUUCCCAGGAAUAAAUUCCACUUCAAAUAGGCCAAAUGAGUGUGGAGGACAGAGAGGGGAAGGUACACGGGCAGCUUCUGCUGUUCUUUGCAAAAAUGGCACAAUGGAUUUUAGUGGGUGCGUAUGUGUGUGCGUCUUAUUAUCUCUGAGACAAGGCUUUAGGACAAAGCUUAAAUUAAAGAACACAACCUGGUGUGGCUCAGAGCCCUGACACGGCAAGGAAGGGAAGGGACAAAGCUCCGGCACUGAUUUAGCGGUGAAGCCAUUCCCCACUAAGGAACUGCCAUCUCACCCUGCGAGUAGUGCCGCAUCUCCCAGUGCACCUGAAGGCUCCAGGCAUCUCCUACCCAGACUGUGGUCACUUUGGGACCAUCCCCAACACACUCUGCAACAACCUUUACUCAUACGCUGAGUAUCACCUGUGCCCACCCAUGCAUCACCUGCCCGCCAGCAGACCCUCUCUACUCUGACCUGUGAUGCCAACAGAGUUUUAUCCCACAUCCCCCACUACGCACAUCACAUUUCAGCUACUGCCUGCGCGUUUAUCUCCACUCAGUCAAACCAAUCCCAUUCACUGCUCAAUUUUUUUACUUCCAUACAUCAUGAGCUGCCUCCAGGCACCACACCGCCCCUUCCCAUGGCAUUGACUGCAGGCAUGGCAGGAGGGGCACACACUGCAUGCUCUGCAAGCUUGGGAUGGAAAUCUCUGCACGAGAUGCAUUAUUUUCUAUUAGCCUCCAUCAAGCUGGUGCCUUAAAUUAUUAAGCUUUGUUGUGGUGUUGGUUUGUUUUUUUUUUUAAUUUGUUGACCUGAAGUAAACACAAGUAUUAAAUCAGAUUCCAAUAAUCUCACUGACAGUAAAUUAACUCAUUGUGUCCUAGAGGGGGACGCAACCGCAUCUUGGCCACUCUGAGCAAUGCUUCACCAUCCCUGCAGAUUCCACAUGCAUGCAAUGGGGUAAAAAGCAGAAGGCCAGAUCCUGCCUCCAACCUUGGGCCAUGUCCCAGAUUGGAAGCUCUGCCUGGAUGCCGCGAUGAAAUUUAUUCCUGAUCAUUCUUAGGUCACCGGAUUCCUGCUCCGGUAGCUUUACCCGACCCCCCAAAUGCCAGGGUCGACGUGCCUAUGUAAGGGCUUUGCAGGGACGGCUCCUGCCCUCACAGCUGCUUGGGGACUUCUGCAGCCGGUGGUCACGAGCCCCUGGCUGCCCAGAUGCCACCUAAUCCGGCCCGGCAGAGGGGCAGCUGAGAAUGAGCACUAUUUAUACCAGCUGCUGCUGGUCCCGCUGGGCUGCCUGUGGCUUUUUUAGCUAGCAGCUCCCAUCCCAGCGCAGGCCAUAUCUGGACAUGGCACAGGCAGAGUGCUGUGCUUCGAGAAGAGAAGAAAGAAAAAAAAAAGAGGGAAAAAAGGAAAAGCUGCAUCUGUUUUAAGAUGUCAGGCACCCUGUUUCCAUCAAAGCAUCCUGAGCACCACCAAAACUGCUCCAACUGCUAAAAGCUUCACUAUAAACUUGCCUCUUAUUCCAAGUGUGUCUGUCCUCUGACAACCUUCCACCCGUGCACAUGGCUAUUGGCCUCUGUUCCUUCAUACAGACCUCUAUGCAAGAAAUGCAAGCUCAAAGCAAGGGUGAAUGCUGACACUGCUUACACAGUGUGAGCAGAAUCUCCUUUGGAGAAUUACAGGGUGUCAGAGGAGGCAGGCGGCUUGGAGCUCUGCCUGUUGAGGAGGCUGCACAAGACUUUGCAUUUUGGCCAUUACACACUCAGAAUGAGCUUGUUCUUGGGUAAUUGCACCAAGACCUUCUCCAGUCCUAUCCCUGCAAUGGCUUCAGCAUCUCUACAUGAGCAGCCCCCUCCCUCUGGGGGAAUGCAAGGCAGGGGAGCAGCAUAGCUGCCUGCAGCCCAGCAAGCAGGCGGUGCAAUGAGCUGCACUCGCCAUGACCCUGCAUCCCAACAGGGAAGCAUCUUGCUGCAUGAUGGCUUCAGGUCAAGAGCAACUUCAGCAGAAAGCGCUAAACUGAGCGCCUUCACUGGGAGGGAAUCGCUGAAAUCAGCGCCCGGCUUUCAGGGGAGGGAUGCGAGCUCCGGAGCGAGGAUAUUUCUCUUGCAAGGAACACACCACCCCCUCGCCCACAGCCACCGUGAAGUGCAAGAUGUGGUGAAACUCUUUAAAAAUAGAUAUAUUCCCAAGCAAUACAUGCCGCUCGCAUCUGGCAGGGCAAACCUAGCAUGGAAGCUCUUGCUUACAGACUAAAAAGCCUCGGAGCAGCUCAAGGCUCCUGCAACCUUGUCUCUCUCCUCGAUUCUUCAGAGCCCGCUCUUGUUCUUGGCCUAACCCAGUCCUGGGAAGCACAAGGGAAGCCCUGCCCAGCUAGGCUGGUGUCAAAGGCAGGGAAAGAUACUGCAGUGCAGUGCUGAUCUCUUCUGCAAUCGGACGUGCAGACUAGCCCGAAUGCUGAGUCAGCACAAUUUCUUUUUUGAUUGGUUGAUCCGAGUAACAUACUUUCAAUGUAUGCUAAAGGGGCAGCAAUUAAUAUGUUUUCCCCCCGUUCUCCACCUUUCCAAACCUCCUCAAAUCAAACACACAAAUCUCACCCCCAAAGUCACUCUCUGGUCCUAAAUAUUCUGAGGCUCUUUCAUUUUUAAUUUAGGGCAUUAAAAAAAAAAAAAUUUGCAAUCUAAGCGAUGCUCACUUUGAUCGACUUGUGCUGCAGCAGCUAAAAUAUCUGUCCUGCAGGUCAAUCUAAUCAUGCUUAAUAGCAGUUUAUUCUUCAACGCAACAUUUUUCACAUUGGGUCGACAGUUUUAAAUGAGAUUGCUGAUGCACCCCUUUACUAAUGCUUUCACCAGGGCCAGCACAUCCCUUGAAAUACUCGUGCAAUAAAAUGAAUGCUUUAUUGCUCUUGAUGAAUGCACUAUUAAACUUGAAUUGCAAAUAUGCCCCCCCCCCCCUUUUUUUUUUUUUUUUUACAAAAGAAGAGUGCUGGGAUUUAUUGGACCACCUGUCUUCCAGUAUUAAGUAAUAGCAACAAAAGUAAUAAUAGCUCAUCAACAUAAACACAUGAAAGGGAAAAAAAUAAUUCAGGGGAAAACACACAGCACGAAUUCAUCCCCGUGCUCCCAUGCGCGUGUGCAAAAUUCCCAUUCUAUACCUGCCCGUAGUUCCUCUUAUGUGCAGAAAAUUCAUCUCAAGAACGGAUGGGUUUUGUGAGGCAUAGAAUAGGAAAACGUAACUAAUUUGGUCCACUGGAUUUAUGGCUUUUACAGUCCUCAGAGCUCCCGUUUCUGCUGGUGGGACCGCUCAGUGCGCGCUUUGCGGGACGGAUGGGCACAGCCGAGCAUCGCGCCUCGCUUCAGCACAGAACCUGCAGCUCUGCUCUAUGGAGAGCGAAGGAGAAGAGGCUUUCUUCAAGCUAAGAAAUAGGGAGGACCUAGUGUGGAGGAACAGUCACAGUUUUAAUCCAAACAAGAAGAAAAGCGAGAAGGAGCUGGAGCUAAGAGUAAGAAUGGCGCAAACUGGUGGACGAUGCUAAUGACUAAAGGGCUGACGUGGUUUUGGGGUCUUUACAGCAUUUCUAUUUAUUUUUUGGCAUUGCCACACUGCACCAGAGAUGGGGUAGGGUCUCAGGAUGUGUUCUGCACCCACACACCUCCACCACGUGGCUCCCACACCGUGAGACAGAGCUGAGUUAUGGUUUUGAAAAUAUUUACAUAAAAAUAAAUCUGAACACUUAGUGACUUCCUAAAGUUAGCAAUUCCGUGUGAUUAACAAGCAUAUUAAUUCAGAGAGGGGGAAGGAGAUAAAAAUUGCAUUAGGGAUGCAGGUAUCUGUUGUAAAUCAGACCAUGAGCACCUUCGCUAGAGAUAUGCACAGUGAUGUGGAAGGCUCAGUAACACCCGCGCUGAGAAUGCAGAGAAAGAGAAGAAAACAAGAAAAAGAAAGAGCAAGACAAUGAGAGAAUGAAAGAAAAGAGAAAAAAAAAAAGAAAAUAAAGAAGAGAAAAAUAUAAGAGCGGAGUUGAAAGCAAGAAAGCAAGCUAGAAAUAAGGAGAAAAUGAGAAGCACACAAGUAGAAGACAAGGAAAGAAGGAAGGAGAGGAAAGCAGUGAGGAAAAGGGAAUCGAGAAGAGGUAGGGUAAAAGGUCACCUGGGAGAGGAGGGAAAUUGCUAUUGUGGCCAGAAUGGUGAGAAUCAUCCCCAUUUUUCACACAGCAAGUCAAGCUCCCAGCAGUGAUGUACAAGUGAGAGAAAUUGCAGCCCUGUUUGGCCAUGGGAACUCUGCUGCUCCGUCUCUAUUCAUUUCCCAGCACCUUUGUAUUUAAUUGUGGCCCCAAACUGGGGCAGGACACCCUCAGUGGCUGGGACCCAUCCCUGUCCAGGGGACAAUGCCUCUCCUCAAAGCACCUGGCAAAGCAGAGGUCCCUCCUCCCCCAAGCAGAGGUUGAGCACUCCAUGUGUGUCCACCACUUGUAUCAUCUUUCUAAAAAAAGAAAGAUUUAUAAAACUUACAGAAUUCUGUACAUUGGAAAUCUCCUUAAGAGCCCAGCCCUCCUUACUUAACCUGCUAUUCACAAGUGCCUGCUUUCCGUUAAACCCCAUUUGGUGUACGUGUAACAAGUGGCAGCAGUGCUUGCCAUGAAUCACAACAAACUGAGGCUCAGCAAAGGCCUUCAGAGCACUUUUGCCAAGCACAGAGAUGUGCUGAAACCAGAGGGAACUUGCUCCAGAGCAGAACACUGCUGUGCCCUCGGCUGCACGGCGGGGUGAUGGGGAUAAGUUUGGGAGUAGGUGGGAUGGAGAAAUGCAGUGCCUAACAGCCCAGAUAUGUGCAUCUCAUAAGCUUGAGGAAAAUGGGGGCUGAAAGCUUCACCCGCCCCUACCCAGACAGAAAGUUCUGAUUGUUCGCACAGAACGUUACACCCAUUUGUAUCAUUGCAUCUCACUGCCGUGGGAUGCUGGGAGAAUAACCAGGUGUUUUACGAUGAGAAAGGUUAAAAAGGAAAACCAGAACACCAGGAAAGCUUCUCAAAUUCAAGGUGCUAUUUUCCUUAUUUCCCUCUAAUAACCCUCUAAUAACACACACUGGGAGCGCUCACUGCCUCUGGCUGGGAGCUGGGCACCCACUGGCCAUGUCCAAGGGCCAACACACGCACAGUGAACAUUGCUUCCUCUCCAGCAUUAAGCACAAAAAGUUUUAACACAGGAAACAUCCCAAAAGCUGUCUGCGUAUUUACGUGAAGCCAAAAUACUGCACCUCCAAGUCACAACUCCUUCCCUUCUUCUCCCCGCCUCCAACUCCUUUCCUUUUCCCUAGGAUUAAGGACCAGCUCUUUUACCCAGCCUUAUUUUUGGGAAAAAGGGCCGAGGGGGAAGCAGCAAUCCGGAGGGACUGGUCUGUAUCCCCGCUGAAAACCAGGAGUGGACAGCCAGCUUUCCUCUGGCAUCGCCUUUCAAAGCCCAUGCCGCAGUCAGCAUAUUGAAUAUUUAAUGUCCUGAUGAGCAUUUCCACCUGCUGACACAGGCAAAGUGACAGAACAAUACACGCACUGGAACAAGAUCACCAAUUGACUCCCCAGCCAGUCUGCCAUGUCAGGCAUCUCAAAAAAAAAAGACAAAAAUCUGUCUGUCUUCCUCCCCCCCCCCCCCUUCACACGGGGUCAUACAUUGCUCCUCCGAGAAGAGUUCCCACCUGAAAUACAUACUUCUUUACAUUCCAUAGAUUGCCAGGUUCAUAUGGGCAUAUAAAGAAGUAUGUCUCUCAAGCAGGUAGGUUCAAUAUGCGCAUUUAUAUGUACACGGGAGGAAAUAGGGCUGGCGUGCCAUUUACUUCCCAGGAGUGAGUUACAGCACAGUUUGAGGCAGCCCAUGUGCAAAACACACACAUGCAUGCACACACACACACACACACACACACUCACUCCCCUUGCUGGUCAUUCCGGCUCUGCCCCUGCAGGUUGCUGGGGUUUAGGGCUGGGAAGAGGCAGUGGGCAAUGCCUGGAGUGCCUGCAGCACUUUGUCAUGGAAUGGCACAGAGGAAAAGCCCCACUCCCAGCCCCCCUACAAAGAGGAUGCUUUCACUGAAAUUGCAAACUUUCAGCAAUUAAAAAGGCUUUAGUUGAAGGAAUUUGCUUUCUGUGUAUAUAUAUAUAUAUAUGCAUAUAUAUAUGUGUGUGUAUAUAGAUUUAGACAAAGCCAUGUGGGUGGAGGUUAAGUAGAUAUCAAAUCCCGAUCGCCUCCAUCCUGCAAUUUAGAAACAAGAAGCCAAUUUGCUUUCAGAAAGCCAAAAUCCAGCAUCCGGCACUGAUUUACAAAGCAACACCAGCAAGAAGUGCUCCAUCUGGCAGAGCAAGAGAACUCACCAGCUACAGACACGCCAUCGCUUCCAGCACUAAGUAGAGAUUAAGGCAUAGGAAGAAGAAAGCAUCUUACCUAAAGAAUCCAGUGAUUUUUCCUCUGCUGGUCACCGUGAGUGUGACACUACCUUGCAGCAAACAAUCCCCAAUAUACCUUGGGAGAAGGGCGGGGGAUUUCGGGGUAUUCAAAAAACGUAUAUAAAAAACAAUUCGCUUUUCACAAGUCAUCCAGCGGAGCCCCACACCUGGGGUAGACACCAGCAGAGAUGCAAACUAAAAAGCAGCCCCAGCCCCGUGCUGGUGGCUUAGGCCAAAAAAGUCUUUCGGAGUUGUCCCCGUGGGGCUCAUCCCCACACGCAGCCAUCAGUUCCCGUUGCCUCUGCCCUCCGCCAGCAGCCACGCUGAGCUUUAAAGCUCC
Molecule: long non-coding RNA, 36382 nt
Organism: Gallus gallus (chicken)
Lineage: Eukaryota; Metazoa; Chordata; Aves; Galliformes; Phasianidae
Source: Ensembl